UCUCGAUUAGUAUAGUGGUUAGUAUGCCAGCUUGUCACGCUGGAGACCGGGGUUCAAUUCCCCGAUCGAGAG
Molecule: transfer RNA, 72 nt
Filed under: Whalleya microplaca
Lineage: Eukaryota; Fungi; Ascomycota; Sordariomycetes; Xylariales; Xylariaceae
Also listed under: 1 other name
Description: tRNA-Asp
Rfam family: tRNA
About the family: Transfer RNA (tRNA) molecules are approximately 80 nucleotides in length. Their secondary structure includes four short double-helical elements and three loops (D, anti-codon, and T loops).
Source: RNAcentral